Molecule: ribosomal RNA, 688 nt
Filed under: uncultured Inocybe
Lineage: Eukaryota; Fungi; Basidiomycota; Agaricomycetes; Agaricales; Cortinariaceae
Description: eukaryotic LSU rRNA
Rfam family: 5.8S ribosomal RNA (bases 288-441)
Source: RNAcentral
GUUUCCGUAGGUGACCUGCGGAAGGAUCAUUAUCGUAUAAACUUGAACAGGCUGUUGCUGGCCCUCCGGGGUGUGUGCACGCUUGUCUCAUCUUUGUCAUUUCUCCAACUUGUGCACAUUUUGUAGAUCCUGGAUGGGGGUGAGCCCUUGUGAACUCGCGUUCGAAUUGGGACUGCUGUUGCUUUUCUUUGGAAAGGCCGGCUUUUCCUUGCAUCUUUUUUCCAGGUCUAUGUCAUUUUUUCACAACCUCUUGAAUGUGUUGGAAUAGUAAAAGUGAAAAUAUAUACAACUUUCAGCAACGGAUCUCUUGGCUCUCGCAUCGAUGAAGAACGCAGCGAAAUGCGAUAAGUAAUGUGAAUUGCAGAAUUCAGUGAAUCAUCGAAUCUUUGAACGCAUCUUGCGCUCCUUGGUAUUCCGAGGAGCAUGCCUGUUUGAGUGUCAUUUACCUUAUCAACCACUUCAGAUUUUUGAAUGUGGCUUGGAUGUGGGGGGAAUUCUUUGCCGGCUUUUCUGAAAAAGGUCUGGCUCCCCUGAAACGCAUUAGUGGCAUCUGAGCUGCUACUGUAGGUGUGAUAAAUAUCUAUGCCUUUGGUAUGCUGCAUGAACAGAUUGCGCUGCUCAAAACCAACCAACUUGACAAACUUGACCUCAAAUCAGGUAGGACUACCCGCUGAACUUAAGCAUAUCA